GAGGGAGAGGAAGAGGAGGAGGAGGCGGAGGAGGGAGGGGGAUGAAGGGGAGGUGUAACACAUCCGACGAGCCGGCUGCAAUGGGCCUCAGCUAAUCCAGACCCUUCGGAGGACCUGCCUUCCCGCUGCCACCGCCGUGUGUCAGAAGCUCCUUGGAUUCGGUUCUCCUCGCCGCCCCCGCCGCCGGUUGACCACAUUUUUUUCCUUGACACACAAUGAGCGCCGCCUGGUAGAGGAGAAGCGGCGUGCCGUGCUGCCUUGCCCCUUUCGGGUUCUCGCGAUGUGAUUCUAUUGCGGCUGCUGGAGGUGAAGGAGGAAGAGGAGGCAGCGUGGCCCGGGGGGGAGGAGGAAGCCUGAGGCUAUGUGGUGUCAGCGACACCAGAAGAUUUGGUGAACCAUGAUGAAGACUGAGUCCCAUAAUACUCCUGGCGGCAGCGGCAGCAGCAGCAGUGGGGGCAGCAGCACCACCGGUGGCAAUGGGGCUGGAGGCAGCCUGAGGAGUGCCUCGCCUCACCGGAAUGCCUACGAAGCUGGCAUCCAAGCUCUGAAAGCCUCCAAGGAUGCCUUGGGCCAAGCUGACAGUGAGGAGGCCAAGAAAGCCAGGAACAAGAAAUAUGGGUCCAAUGUCCAUCGGAUCAAAAAUAUGUUCCUGCAAAUGGGCACUGCGCCGCCACCAGGGGAGGGAGCAGUUGAUCUGGCCAAGAUGAAGGAGAAGCCGGUCCGGUUGUCCUUGCCCCGGGCCAGCAGCCUGAACGAGAAUGUAGACCAUAGUGCAUUGCUGAAACUGGGCACCAGCGUAUCCGAGAGGGUGAGCCGGUUUGACUCCAAAACAGAUAAGCCAUUGUCCAAGCUCCAGGAGACACGGAAGAUCUUCGAGAGAAGUCUCCAGGAGAAGGAGACCACCAACAAACUGCUUCUGAGGAAAGAGAGAGCUGGCUUCCAAGACCGGAAGUUGGAUGUGGUGGUGAGGUUCAACGGCAGCACAGAAUCCCUGGACAAGCUAGACACAGAGGCUGUGUCUCCCACUGUAAGCCAACUCAGUGCUGUCUUUGAGAAAGCUGACCUGAGGAAUAACCUCCAUAAAGCCCCUGGCAAAGUUGGGCCCCUCAACUCCAAAAUUGUUAGCAAAAGGUCCAGGGUUUUCCUCCAGGCUCCAGAAGGAAGUGCCAAGGUGGAAAACAGGAAUAGUGAUGGGGCUGCGCCCCAAGUGAGAGCAAGGUUGCCCGAGACUGACAAAGCCCAAAACAAGCUGGUGCCCGGGGGUUCAGUAGCAGCAAAGCCAGGAGAUAAAGACUCUAACAUGGGGCUACGUCCUCAGAAGGUCCAAGAAGUGCGCAAGAUCAAGCCUGUGGAAGUGGAAGAGAGUGGAGACUCUGAACAGGAGUUUGAGGCAGCUGAGGUGGCAGUGGCGGCAGCAGCAGUGGCAGAUGAGAACAGCAAGGCCUCUAAGGGUUCUGACCCUCUCAGGGCAGAGGUGAUUCAGGCUGAGGUCACAGUGCAUGCGGCCUUGGAAAAUGGCCAGCUGGGGGGUGAAAGAUACCUAGAAACUCCAGGCCCAUUGGCAGACACUUACUGUGAGGAAGUGGCCAAGGCUGAGGGACCAGAGGAGAAUGACCUGGGUGAUGAGUCUAAGAAGGAGGACUUCUCUGAGGCUGACCUGGUGGACAUUAGUGCCUACAGUGGACUGGGGGAGGAUUCGGGAGGGAGUGGGCUGGAUGAAGACGAGGAUGGUGAUGGACUGUAUGCACCGGAAUCUAGCUGUGUCGAGAUCCCUGGGCUGUCAGAAGAGGAUGAAGCUGCCCCUAAUCGCAAGAUCCACUUCAGCACAGCCCCAAUACAGGUUUUCAGCACUUAUUCCAAUGAGGAAUAUGACCGUCGAAAUGAAGAUGUUGAUCCUAUGGCUGCCUCAGCAGAGUAUGAACUUGAAAAAAGAGUGGAAAGGCUGGAUCUAUUUCCUGUGGAACUGGAAAAAGAUUCUGAGGGUCUUGGGAUCAGUAUUAUUGGAAUGGGGGCUGGAGCUGAUAUGGGUCUAGAAAAGCUUGGCAUAUUUGUCAAGACUGUGACAGAAGGAGGAGCAGCUCAUCGAGAUGGCAGGAUCCAGGUGAAUGAUCUUAUCGUUGAGGUGGAUGGCACCAGUUUGGUGGGCGUGACUCAAAGCUUUGCAGCCUCUGUGUUAAGGAAUACCAAGGGUAGAGUCCGGUUCCUCAUUGGCAGGGAGAAGCCAGGAGAGCAGAGUGAAGUGGCGCAACUGAUCCAGCAGACCCUGGAACAGGAACGAUGGCAGCGAGAAAUGAUGGAACAGAGGUAUACCCAAUAUACAGAGGAGGAUGAAGAAACAGGAGAAUAUGCUACAGAUGAAGAUGAAGAGAUGAGCCCCAUGUUCCCCAACAAUGAAAUGGCUAUUGAGGUUUUUGAAUUGGCUGAAAAUGAAGACAUGCUGUCUCCAGUGGAGAUGGAUCCUGAGAAGCUAGUGCAUAAAUUUAAGGAGCUCCAGAUCAAGCAUGCUGUGACUGAAGCCGAAAUACAGCAGCUGAAAAGAAAGCUACAAUCAAUUGAACAGGAGAAAGCUCGCUGGCGCAUUGAGAAAGCCCAGCUGGAACAGAGCGUAGAAGAAAACAAGGAGCGGAUGGAGAAACUGGAAGGAUACUGGAUGGAGGCUCAGAACUUAUGCCAGGCUGUGGAUGAGCACUUAAAAGAGACCCAGGCCCAGUACCAGACUCUGGAAAGGAAAUACAGCAAAGCUAAGCGACUUAUUAAGGAGUAUCAACAGAAAGAAAUUGAAUUCCUCAAGAAGGAGACAGCUCAGCGUCGCAUCCAAGAGGAGUCUGAAUUGGCUCACAAGGAGGAAGUUGACAAGCUGCAAGAGAAGAUCUCUGAACUGGAGGCGAAGCUGCAGACUUUGAAAAAUUCCAACACGACUUAAAAAGAGAGAGAGAGAGAGAGAGAGAGCAGAAAAACAUAUAAACCAACCAGAGAAAUUAAUUCAUCUUAUUAUUAACUAUUACUAUUAUUCGCAAGGGACAUCUUUAGAAUUUUCUUCCACCCAUGCCCAGUCUUUAUUCUUCCUCAUCCUGUGCCUCGUUCCCUUUAUUUUACUGCAGGGGAAAUACUGUAAAGCCCAGCACUGUCAGAAGAACUACUGCAGAUGACCUUGCCAUCUGUUGAGUAUGAGGCUGUGAAAGACCAGGUGGGGUGGUGAAAUUCUAGAUGGACUGCAGAGACACAACCCACCUCUUGAUGGUGAUGGAUCAUUUUCAGUUUCUGUGUCUGGUGUGCAUCUUGUGUCAACUGGAGAAACAGAUGAUGGAGGGCGGGAAGGUGGUCAUCUGUGUACAGUAAUGUAUGUCUUCUGUCCCAUCUGCCUGAUGAGAACCUUUAUGGAUUGGGACUGAUGCCCCAUGUCUAUACAUUGACUUGUUGGCUCUUCAGUGGUGCAGGCAACUAGAACAUAGAAAGACUCUGCUGGUGACAAAUAAGACCAGCGGUUUUCAUUUUGCUUCCUGAAUCUUGAUCUUAUGAGCUGGGUGGGGUGGAGGGUGGGACACUUGUCUAGCUUUGAGAUGGGAAGAUCUUUAGUUUUCCAUCCUUUGGGCAACUUGGAAUCCAUUGUUCUCUAUGUUUUGUGGUGGGAACUGUAUCUGUUUCCUAACAAAUGAGCCAGCAGGAGGUUUUGCUGGCCAUCUUUGGGACAUCCCUGCUGGCAACUGACUUUUACAUCAGGGAAGAAGUAUCAGCCUGUUUUUCUUUUCCUCAUUACAUUUUAUUCCUAUUUUUUUGGAAGAUUCCUGGGAAUCUACAUUCUGGAGACUAACAAACUGGACUCUCCCAAAGGACUUGAGGGUUCAGACGUAAUUGCUGAGAGCAAAUAUAUCAAGGCAGCUGUAGCCAGGAAAUGAAGCCAGAAACUUUAGAAAAACAUGGAACUGCCAUUCUGUAUUUGCAUCUCCAAAGGCCACCAGUUUGUGCUGGAUCCAUCUCACCACUGUCAGCAUCAGGGUUUGCUGGGGAAAUUGGAAUCUGGAACUAAUUAGGAGCAAAACAUGAAAACAAAGCCCUGGUGGUCAAAAGCAAACUGUACAAUGAAUCUUGUCUUUUUAAUUUAAUGGAUUCACCUAGAAAUUUCCAGAUCUCGUCAUGAGGACGUGUAGUUUGUUUGUGAUAAAAAUCAUUCAUUUUAUCCUUCAUUAUUUGGAAUUCAAAGGUUUGAUGUGUGAAAACUGUUCACACAUAAGAUGAGUAUUCAAGAAGAUCACUUCCCAAAGUUAGGUUAAUCUUUGCAUAUUUCCAUGAUCUGCUUAUAUACUCACUUUGGUCAAAAGUGACAAUUUGGUGGGUUAUUUUCCAAAGUUUAAUUUAUAUAUGGAAUGGGUAUUCUAUACACAUGCCAUGAUUUAUGAACAAGGACUUCAGUAUGGCAAAUAUUUUGGAUUCAUUAAUCAAAAAUAAAAAACUGAAAAGUCCAAUUUUUUUAGCCUAGAAGUGGGGAAUCAAAUGAUUUGGGAAAGACUACUUUCCUAUCUCCUCUACAUAGAAAGGGUCACAUUGUAAAUGUUCUCACAUAUCUAUCCUAAAACUCACUGCUCUUAAAGCUAAAGGCAUCAUACUGUAUGUUCAUGCACAUAUAACGUGGGGAGUAUGCAUUUUAGUGCUCUGUGAAUUGCUUAAAAGUUUACUGCAAGUGUAGUUCAGCCAAUUUACAGCCUCGGUCCCCUUUAUGUGUUAUAUUUGUUGCAGCACAUUUUCCAUCAACUGCUGGGGUGAUAAUGGAAUUGGUUGUCUGGCGCUUGAAGGAUCCAGGUUCGGUAGGAACUUAGAUGUGUAUGAUUGAGUGAUGUCAUUCAAAAUAACACGUCCUAUACUAUGUUCUCUUUAUAC
Thamnophis sirtalis is the source of this 4875-nucleotide RNA transcript. It is a transcript of the gene named protein phosphatase 1 regulatory subunit 9B, with no coding region annotated. Lineage: Eukaryota; Metazoa; Chordata; Lepidosauria; Squamata; Natricidae. The record is from RefSeq and is a predicted model, not a curated record.